UGGGAGGAGGACAGACGGGGCUUUGGUACUCUCAGGCUGCUGUACCUGGGGUAGAAAUGCCCACUUAUGAGUGGAAGCUGAGUGGAGGAAAGCAGCCCCAGAGUUUUCAGCUCCUCUUACCUGGAAUCAAACCUCUGCAACAUGGGACUUGAGGUGGAUGGGAGGUGAGAGAAGCUGGCAUGCCUGCCCCUCCCAGUGAGGCAGUGAAGCAGCUGAAGCCAGGGGCGUGGUGGGUUAUGGUACAUACGCCAUCACACUGGCGGAAAAUGAAGACCAGGUCGCCUGGGCCCUCACAUCUCCUGACAUUCACCUUCAGCCACAG
Molecule: long non-coding RNA, 322 nt
Filed under: Equus caballus (horse)
Lineage: Eukaryota; Metazoa; Chordata; Mammalia; Perissodactyla; Equidae
Description: lncRNA (ENSECAG00000047661.1)
Source: RNAcentral